This 495-nucleotide ribosomal RNA is filed under the name uncultured bacterium. RNAcentral's name for it is "partial 16S ribosomal RNA". It matches the Rfam family "Bacterial small subunit ribosomal RNA", at positions 30 to 507 of the family's 1533-position model. The record is from RNAcentral.
UGAACGCUGGCGGCGUGCCUAAUACAUGCACGUCGAGCGACCAGACGAGGAGCUUGCUCCUCUGACGUUAGCGGCGGACGGGUGAGUAACACGUGGAUAACCUACCUAUAAGACUGGGAUAACUUCGGGAAACCGGAGCUAAUACCGGAUAAUAUAUUGAACCGCAUGGUUCAAUAGUGAAAGACGGUUUUGCUGUCACUUAUAGAUUGAUCCGCGCCGCAUUAGCUAGUUGGUAAGGUAACGGCUUACCAAGGCGACGAUGCGUAGCCGACCUGAGAGGGUGAUCGGCCACACUGGAACUGAGACACGGUCCAGACUCCUACGGGAGGCAGCAGUAGGGAAUCUUCCGCAAUGGGCGAAAGCCUGACGGAGCAACGCCGCGUGAGUGAUGAAGGUCUUCGGAUCGUAAAACUCUGUUAUUAGGGAAGAACAAAUGUGUAAGUAACUAUGCACGUCUUGACGGUACCUAAUCAGAAAGCCACGGCUAACUACGUG